Molecule: ribosomal RNA, 493 nt
Filed under: uncultured bacterium
Lineage: Bacteria
Description: partial 16S ribosomal RNA
Rfam family: Bacterial small subunit ribosomal RNA
Source: RNAcentral
AGUGAACGCUGGCGGUAGGCCUAACACAUGCAAGUCGAACGGCAGCACAGUAAGAGCUUGCUCUUACGGGGUGGCGAGUGGCGGACGGGUGAGGAAUACAUCGGAAUCUACUUUUUCGUGGGGGAUAACGUAGGGAAACUUACGCUAAUACCGCAUACGACCUACGGGUGAAAGCAGGGGAUCUUCGGACCUUGCGCGAUUGAAUGAGCCGAUGUCGGAUUAGCUAGUUGGCGGGGUAAAGGCCCACCAAGGCGACGAUCCGUAGCUGGUCUGAGAGGAUGAUCGGCCACACUGGAACUGAGACACGGUCCAGACUCCUACGGGAGGCAGCAGUGGGGAAUAUUGGACAAUGGGCGCAAGCCUGAUCCAGCCAUACCGCGUGGGUGAAGAAGGCCUUCGGGUUGUAAAGCCCUUUUGUUGGGAAAGAAAAGCAGCAGGUUAAUACCCCGCUGUUCUGACGGUACCCAAAGAAUAAGCACCGGCUAACUUCGUG